GCGGAGGAAAAGAAACCAACAGGGAUUGCCUCAGUAACGGCGAGUGAAGCGGCAUCAGCUCAAAUUUGAAAUCUGGUCUCACGAUCCGAGUUGUAAUUUGUAGAGAAUGCUUCGGGCGAGGUCCGGUCUAAGUUCCUUGGAACAGGACGUCAUAGAGGGUGAGAAUCCCGUAUGCGACCGGGUGCCUCCGCCCAUGUGAAGCUUCUUCGACGAGUCGAGUUGUUUGGGAAUGCAGCUCAAAAUGGGUGGUAAAUUUCAUCUAAAGCUAAAUACUGGCCAGAGACCGAUAGCGCACAAGUAGAGUGAUCGAAAGAUGAAAAGCACUUUGGAAAGAGAGUUAAACAGUACGUGAAAUUGUUGAAAGGGAAGCGCUUGCAACCAGACUUGCGCGUGGCCGAUCAUCCGGUGUUCUCACCGGUGCACUCGGUUGCGCUCAGGCCAGCAUCGGUUUCGGUGGUUGGAUAAAGGCCCGGGGAAUGUAGCUCCUCUCGGGGAGUGUUAUAGCCCUGGGUGCAAUGCAGCCUACCGGGACCGAGGACCGCGCUUCGGCUAGGAUGCUGGCGUAAUGGUUGUAAGCGACCCGUCUUGA
Molecule: ribosomal RNA, 589 nt
Filed under: Collophorina africana
Lineage: Eukaryota; Fungi; Ascomycota; Leotiomycetes; Phacidiales
Description: partial large subunit ribosomal RNA
Rfam family: Eukaryotic large subunit ribosomal RNA
Source: RNAcentral